AGAGUUUGAUCCUGGCUCAGAUUGAACGCUGGCGGCAGGCCUAACACAUGCAAGUCGAGCGGUAACGCGGGGCAACCUGGCGACGAGCGGCGGACGGGUGAGUAACGCGUAGGAAUCUACCUGGUAGUGGGGGAUAGCCCGGGGAAACUCGGAUUAAUACCGCAUACGCCCCAAGGGGGAAAGCGGGGGUCGCAAGACCUCGCGCUAUCAGAAGGGCCUGCGUUGGAUUAGCUAGUUGGUAGGGUAACGGCCUACCAAGGCGACGAUCCGUAGCUGGUCUGAGAGGACGAUCAGCCACACUGGGACUGAGACACGGCCCAGACUCCUACGGGAGGCAGCAGUGGGGAAUAUUGGACAAUGGGGGCAACCCUGAUCCAGCAAUGCCGCGUGUGUGAAGAAGGCCUGCGGGUUGUAAAGCACUUUCAGAGGGGAAGAAAAAAUCGGAGCUAACACCUCCGAGCUUGACGUUACCCUUAGGAGAAGCACCGGCUAACUCCGUGCCAGCAGCGGCGGUAAUUC
RNAcentral lists this ribosomal RNA (519 nucleotides) under uncultured bacterium. RNAcentral's name for it is "bacterial SSU rRNA". It matches the Rfam family "Bacterial small subunit ribosomal RNA", at positions 8 to 526 of the family's 1533-position model. The record is from RNAcentral.